CGGGGGGUGACCUGCCAGGGCCCAGCAUGGGGGAGGCAGGGGCCGUGGACUGAGGACAGCCCCGGGCCGCCCCAGCUCCCUUCCCAAGGGCGGGGUCCCACUAGAGCUCUGGGUGGAAAACCCUAGACAGAGAAGCCCAGGGGGGCAGGUGUGCAUAUGCCCCUGCUCACCUGGCCCUGGCUUCCUCCUGGCCCAGGACCAAGUGCAAACACCUGCUGGGCAUGGAAAGCCCUUGCCUUCGAUGAGAUGCUCCAUGCACACAGUGCCUGGCCCAUCACAAGUGCUUAAUAAAUGAUUUUGCCUCCCUCCUCCCUCCCUUCCUUCUUUACUCCCUUCCUUCCUUCCUUCCUUCCUUCCUUCCUUCCUUCCUUCCUUCCUUCCUUCCUUCCUUCCUUCCUUCCUUCCUUCCUUCCUUCCUUCCUUCCUUCCUUCCUCUUCCCUUUCUUUCCUCCCUCCUUCCUUCCUCCUUCCCUUUCUUCCCUCCCUCCUCCCUCCCUCCCUUCCUUCUUUACUCCCUCCCUCCCUCCCUUCCUUCCUUCCUUCCUUCCUUCCUUCCUUCCUUCCUUCCUUCCUUCCUCUUCCCUUUCUUUCCUCCCUCCUUCCUUCCUCCAUCCCUCCCUUCUUUCCUUCCUUCCUCCUUCCCUUUCUUCCCUCCCUCCUCCCUCCCUCCCUUCCUUCUUUACUCCCUCCCUCCCUUCCUUCCUUCCUUCCUUCUUUCCUUCCUUCCUUCCUUCCUUCCUUCCUUCCUUCCUCUUCCCUUUCUUUCCUCCCUCCUUCCUUCCUCCAUCCCUCCCUUCUUUCCUUCCUUCCUCCUUCCCUUUCUUCCCUCCUCCCUCCCUCCCUUCCUUCCUUCCUUCCUUCCUUCCUUCCUUCCUUCCUUCCUUCCUUCCUUCCUCUUCCCUUUCUUCCCUCCCUCCUCCCUCCCUCCCUUUCUCCCUCCCUCCCUUCCUUCUUUACUCCCUUCUUUCCUUCCUUCCUUCCUUCCUUCCUUCCUUCCUUCCUCUUCCCUUUCUUCCCUCCCUCCUCCCUCCCUCCCUCCCUUCUUCCCUCCCUCCUCCUUCCCUUUCU
This 1068-nucleotide long non-coding RNA is filed under the name Phascolarctos cinereus (koala). RNAcentral describes it as "lncRNA (ENSPCIG00000036816.1)". Lineage: Eukaryota; Metazoa; Chordata; Mammalia; Diprotodontia; Phascolarctidae. The record is from RNAcentral.